UACGUAGGGUGCAAGCGUUGUUCGGAAUUAUUGGGCGUAAAGGGCGCGUAGGCGGUGCGGUAAGUCACCUGUGAAAUCUCCUGGCUCAACUGGGAGCUUGCAGGCGAAACUGCCGUGCUGGAGUGUGGGAGAGGUGCGUGGAAUUCCUGGUGUAGCGGUGGAAUGCGCAGAUAUCAGGAGGAACACCGAUGGCGAAGGCAGGUCACUGGGCCGCAACUGACGCUGAGGAGCGAAAGCAUGGGGGAGCGAACAGG
Molecule: ribosomal RNA, 254 nt
Filed under: uncultured bacterium
Lineage: Bacteria
Description: partial 16S ribosomal RNA
Rfam family: Bacterial small subunit ribosomal RNA
Source: RNAcentral